GUGCUCCCCCGCCAAUUCCUUUAAGUUUCGGCCUUGCGACUAUACUUCCCAGGUAGCACACUCUUCGGCUUCCCUUCAGCACUAAUAUCUCUCGAAGAGAUACUAAUGUUUAGUGUGCAGUGUUUACUGCUAGGACUACACGGGUAUCUGAUCCGUUUUGCGCCCCUAGCCUUCAUCCCUUACUGUCAGAACUGUCCUCGUAAGAUGCCUUCGCUAUUGUUAGUCUGUUCAAGAUUAACAUAUUUAACCACUACUUUGAACAUACUUCUUACGCCUUCCAGUCUCUAGUUUAACAGUAUUUUUUGCUCGCUCCAUACUUGAGAUAUAGAAUUUCACAAGAAACUUAUUAAACAAGCUACGGAUGUUUUAGACCUAAUAAAGAUGGCUGCGACUUGGACCGCUAGUAUUACCGCGGCGGCUGGCACUAGUCUUACCCAGUCCUUAUUCGUAAAACUUUUUACAUUUUACAAAAGCUUUUCAUUUGAAAAGCACUCUGGCUCGCUUUGUCACGCUUUCGCGCAUUGCAAAAGAUUCUUAACUGCUGCACCCCGUAAGGCUGGGAAUAGUGUCUCAGAUUCCCUCUCAGGGCCUCUCCGCUAAGAGCCCUUACAGAUCUUCGGCUUGGUGGGCAUUUACCCCGCCAACAACCUAAUCUGCCGCAGCCCCAUCCUUAAGCUCGAGUUUGAGAGAUAAAUCUUUCCAGGGUAAAUCUCCUAUCAAGUGUUAGCCUCAGUUUCCCGAGGGUAUCCUUGACUUAAGGGCAGGUUAGCUACGUGUUACUGAGCAGU
This 788-nucleotide ribosomal RNA is filed under the name uncultured euryarchaeote. RNAcentral describes it as "partial 16S ribosomal RNA". Lineage: Archaea; Methanobacteriati; Methanobacteriota. The record is from RNAcentral.